AUUGAACGCUGGCGGCAUGCCUUACACAUGCAAGUCGAACGGUAACAGGUCUUCGGAUGCUGACGAGUGGCGAACGGGUGAGUAAUACAUCGGAACGUGCCCGAUCGUGGGGGAUAACGGAGCGAAAGCUUUGCUAAUACCGCAUACGAUCUACGGAUGAAAGCAGGGGACCGCAAGGCCUUGCGCGGACGGAGCGGCCGAUGGCAGAUUAGGUAGUUGGUGGGAUAAAAGCUUGCCAAGCCGACGAUCUGUGGCUGGUCUGAGAGGACGACCAGCCACACUGGGACUGAGACACGGCCCAGACUCCUACGGGAGGCAGCAGUGGGGAAUUUUGGACAAUGGGCGAAAGCCUGAUCCAGCCAUGCCGCGUGCAGGAUGAAGGCCUUCGGGUUGUAAACUGCUUUUGUACGGAACGAAAAGACUCUUUCUAAUAAAGAGGGUCCAUGACGGUACCGUAAGAAUAAGCACCGGCUAACUACGUGCCAGCAGCCGCCGUAA
This 498-nucleotide ribosomal RNA is filed under the name uncultured bacterium. Its description in RNAcentral is "partial 16S ribosomal RNA". It matches the Rfam family "Bacterial small subunit ribosomal RNA", at positions 30 to 523 of the family's 1533-position model. The record is from RNAcentral.